ACCUUGUAGAUGAACUCUGACCUUUGUCAAUGACUUGUCCAUUAGAUAAGGGAUCAUAUAUUCCUCCAUUCUAGAUAUCAUAUGGACUGAGACAUGGAUUAUAAUCAUUCUCUCUGUCCAUUUGUUGUUUCCUGAUUUCCGAUUUAUGACGACUGACUAAUUGAACAAAUCAAAUCAGUCCUGGCCCGGCCGAGCACUUCCAUUUGUCAUCAUCAAAUCAUCGAGGGGCCCACAGAUAUCGCUUUUAUCCCGAAGGUAAAAGGAAUGGAUAAACUUCGACUCAUAUGGCUUGUUAUACUACUUGUUGAAUCAUACACAAAGACACGUUUUAUAACACCGAGUUACCGAAUGCGUUUUCGUGCAAUCAAUGUACAACCAACUCAUAGUAACAACUCAUAUCUCUAGGUUUUAAGAUUAUAAGAUAUUAUCGUCAAUUUCAUAUAAGGAAAACCCUAUGCUAAUAGGCAUCAUGAAAUCAGGCAAUUCUAUCAUGCAAUUUCUGAAGAUCCCUAGCCUAGUACUAGUAUGCUCUUCCAACAUAUCACAUAGUCAAGUAACUUGUGUGGUAUUUUGGGGUCUACUUACUGGCUCCGGCUGAUCGUACCCUCUGCAUCCUCCUUUACUUAUUUCGAAACACCUUUGAAAACCAUUNUAAAUCCCUCCUUGAUUUGAGACUGGAUUUACACGAAUGUUCCUCCAAUUCACUGAAACCAAGGCACUGAUACCAACUUAUAGCACCCAUAAAAUUCGAGCCAAAUUAAAACAUUUUAAUUCAUUGAAAAACCAUUAAGUUCAUACAUUUGUUUUCAAAAUAGUUUAAACAUCAGAGUAUUCCCCAAAACCAUAUCACAUAAAUCAUAAAACAUGAGGAGCAGUACGAUCACACCUUCGCCUUGCCACGUUCUCCUGAAGUACCUUAAACAAAACACUGAACUGUAAGCCCAAAAGCUUAGUGAGUUACCCCUAAAAUACCGACCACACGCAUACAUACUCAUAACAUAUCACAAAUAGAACAGCCAUGCACAUCGGGUCUACAAUGUGAUUGGUCCGCCCGUACUGGGCCUUCAAUCCACCUAGUCCACUCUCUGAGUCUACAGUAUGACUGGUCUGCCCACAUCGGGCCUUCAGUCGGCCUGGUCCACUCUUCGAGCCUCAGCACGUCUGGUUCGCCCUCUUGGGGCCUUCAGCCUAUGCGAACCGCUCACUGGGCCUUCAGAAUAUCUGGUCCGCCUUGGGUAUCUUGGCCUACAGCACAAAGCAGGACCCGCCUCAACCCAACCCCCGUCAACCAAUCGUAUGCACAUUAAACAAUUAAUCGCAUAACAAUCCUUAACCAGACAAGCAGUCUAAUAGGUCACAUAGCAUAUUAGUAACAUAGAAACCAUCCUAAACCAGGAUGUAUCUAGCAUAUCAGUAACAUAACAACCACCCUAAACCAGGAUGUAUCUAGCAUUUCAAUAACAUUGCAACCUCCUAACCAGGAUUCCGACCGAACCAGUCACUAGCAUAACAUUACCUUAUAUACCGGGUACCGACCUUGACCAGGUCACUAACAUAACACCAUCCUAAAUACCAGGAUGCAUAUCUAGAAAAGCAAUAACAUAACAAACAAUACCCGGAUUUCCAUCCCAUAAAGGGCCGGCCUUGGUGCCGUAGACCCUAUCGAUAUAGUGAGGAUAACUCACCUGCAAUUACCGACUGGAAAGAUAAGACCCAGCUACUCCGACCACCGACACGAUCUUCACCACAUAACACUACCAAAAAACCAAUUCCAUAAAUACCCAAAAUUACCAAAAUACACUUGGAAGUAAAACUGGUCAACUCUUGGUCAAAUUCAAAGUCCUCAGUCAAAGUCAACCUUCCUGGUUGAUUCUACUCGCCGAGUCACCCUGACAACUCGUCGAGUUCCUAUACUCAGAAACUCCCAAAAUACGACUCAACUCGCCGAGUCGCCCCAAGACUCGUCGUGUCCAACGAUCUAUGAGUCCCAUCCUGCCCGACUCAAUUAAUCCAAGGCUUUAACCAAAAGAGGUUGGGGUCUGCGACCAGACUCGCCGAGUCCAAGAACAGACUCGCCGAGUCCAAGGCAAUCUUCACCAGACUCACCGAGUUGUUCUUCCAACUCAUCGAGUCCAUGCACAUGUUCAUACAACUCGUCGAGUACACCCAUGUGACUCGCCGAGUCUCUCUAGUUCUCAAUCCAUUCAGAAGUUUUUCGAGCCAUGCAGGGGCUCCAAUCCAUAGAUCCACCCUUCUACAAUCUAACCCUCACACAAAGUUGCAAACUUUACGUGAAACCAAGGAGAUAUGGGUCCAAAACAUACUAGGGCUUGGGUUUUAGACAAAGGGACUUCACCAACAACUCAAAGACUGAAGCUUUAUGACAUUCUAGGCCAUCAUGAGUCUAGAUCUGGAGUAACAACCCCAGAUCUAACUCCAAAUCCGAGAUAGGCCUCAAAACAAGUUAAAUAACUCCCAAAACAACCACCAAGGAUGAACCAAAAAGGAAAUAGCUUAAGAUAAGGGCUCCUUACCUCAGAGAUGCGCCCAAAUCUGAUGUAGAUCCCAGAUCUAUACAAACCCCUUGAUGCUAGCUUCCAAUUUCUCAAGCUCAUUCCAAAAAUUUCGUCUUCCAAGUCCCAAUCUCCUCAACAAUGAAGCCUGACACAAAAUUAGGGUUUUCUGGAACUCUCAGGGGGAUUAGGAGGCUGGGGGAAGGACAUAAAGUCCUUUAAAUAGGGUGCAACCCUCGAGAUUAGGGUUUUCUCUCUUCAGCACCAACUCGUCGAGUCCACCGCUGACUUGACGAGUUGGCCACUUAAACCCGCGAUCAAUCCCGCUCUGACUCGACGAGUAGCAUACCUACUCGUCGAGUAGCUUCCUUAAUUUACACUUAGCACCCUCCAACUUCUUGCUUCCGAACUUUGGAUGAUACACUUCAUGUCUUGGCGCGGGCCAAAAUGUUGAGAAUUCGCGGCUACGGUGUUGAAAAGUUGUCUUGCUUGUUGUGGAGUUUUACUAAAGACAUCACCACCACUUGAGGCAUCAACUAGUUUUCUCUCCAUUGGCAACAAUCCCUCAUAGAAGUGUUGAUUGAGGAGUUGUUCUGGAAUUUGGUGUUGUGGGAAACUAUAGCACAAGUUGUUGAAAAUCUCCCAAUAACCAUGAAAAGUCUAAUUUUGACCUUGGCGGAUUCCACAAAUCUCAUUUCUAAGACUUGAGACUCUUGAAGUGGGAUAGAACUUAUCAAGGUAAGCUCUUUCCAUGUCGGUCCAUGAGUUGAUCGACCCCAGUGGAAGAUAGAAUAACCAAUCUUUUGCUCUAUCGGCCAAUGAAAAGGGGAAUGCCCUUAGCUUGAUUUGGUCAUCGGUUGACCCUUGUGGCUUCAUGCUAGUGCGAAUAAUGUUGAACAUCUUCAAAUGCUUAUGAGGGUCUUCAUUCUCCAAUCCAUGAAAAGUUGGUAGGUGAUGGACUAAAGUUGACUUCAACUCUGAGCCUCCUUCCAAAACCGGGUAAUUGAUACCGGUUGGAGUUUGUGUAACAUCGGUCCCCAUCAUUUGCCUCAAAGUUCUUUCGGGAACUUCUCCUCCGUCCGCCAUUGCAAUUGGCUCAAUAAUGGGUGGAUUUUGUUGUAGGGGUGGUGUUUCGGGAAUUUCUUGGCAAGGUUCAGGACUAGAAUCGGGUUCUAUAUCACUUAAUGAAGCGGUUUCAACCUCCGGAUCCACGUAAGGAUUAUAAGUUUGACCACGUUCACUUCGCUUUUCCUUCGCUACACGCCUUUCUUCUUUUUCGAUUUCUGGGUUGUAAAUCAAGUCAGCUGUACGUUGAGAUCUGGGCAUAGAGAAACAAAUUGAUUAAAAAUAAACCAGUCCCCGACAACGGCGCCAAAAUUUUGGUGGUUGUCGAGGCCAACAAAAUUAAUAACCCUAAUUAUUACACACUAACAUAGCAUAUAGUGGUAAAGGGAUCGAAUCCACAGAGAUUGGUUCAAUUUAUAACUCUAUGGAAAAUCUCUUUCUAAAAAUACUUGUAAAAUAACAAUAAAAAUAAAAUGGGAGUUUUGGUGUUUUGAAAUACUUGAAACAAACUAGAAUUAACUAUGAUUUAAAUAGACAAUUUCAACAAAAAUAAGGGUUUGAUGUAAAAUCAGUAAGUGAGAGAUGAUUGACUUAAAGUUUCCUCACUUUGACUUUUGAUGAACAUAUCAUUAGAAUCCAAUGGUGGAAUACUUUGAAUUAAAUCCUUAAUUUGGCUAUAGUAAUCCAAGGAGCUUGAGAUUACCUAGACUUUUCUUAAUUGUUGAAAUGGCUAUAGAAGCUCAUAACAAUUUCCUUAGUCAAAGUCACUAAUUCCAAAUAGCAUGUAAUUAGUGAAAACCAACUAGCAUUAAGAACCAAAAAGUCACCAAAUCCAAGAGGAGUCAAUUGCUUUCACUACCAUAUUGGAGAAAAUGUUUUUAUGAUUGUGUGAAGCAAAAACAACACAAAAAUCAUUUGUUGCUUGCUAAUUUGAGGAUCCUUUACUUAAUCAAGAAAUUAGUCAACUAAUCACCACAAACACAUUUAAACUCAUGAAUAAAAACAUACUAGUAGUGAUAAUAUCUUAAAACACAAAACAUUUCCAUAAAGAUUUAAGAACAAAUUCAUGGAUUCGUCAACAUUCAAUAAAAGUUCAAAGGAUUCAACAAAAAGUCAACCAAGAUUAGUUUAGCCAAGCAUGGGUAAACUCAAAAAAAUAAAGUUAAAGAAGAUUGUACCAAACAUUUUACAAUAAUCAAGAUGUGAAAAGAAGAUGUUCUUGAGGAGUUCUUGGGCUUCAAAAGUGCUCCAAACUCCAAAGAGAAAGUGUCAAACCUGGACCUCCAAGAUAAGGCUGAAGAGGCACAUCAACCUUUCCAAUAUAGAGCUCUAGGUAAAAUCCCGAAAUUGCCCUUAUCAGGAAUCCACGCGGGCCGCGGGAAUCUUACGCGGGCCGCGUGACUGCGACAGAACUUUUGGGCUUCUUCAAGUAUUGGGCCCCCACAGCUAAUCCAUUGGCCCAGUUCGAAUCCAAUCAGCUUCUAGCCCAUUUUUAUUUAAUAUUUCUUCAAUUAGAGCCCAAUUUUUCUCUCUACAUCACUCAAAACUUCCGCAAACUCCUAAACAUCGAUCUUGCACACUCAAGAAUUCUCCCGUGCCUUUCAAAUUUAAAGUUCAACACUUCCAUGCCUUCAAGCAAUUGACAAGGCCACUCCAUGAAUCAACUCCGUAGCCAUUAAGCAUGAAAUCCCCAUUUCCCUUCAAGCCCAAGCGCCUCCCAAGAGUCCCGCUCCGCUAGUCUCCAAGAAAAUCUACAAUACUGCUCAAGAUACUAGAAAGUACCCGAAAUGGUCAGAAAAUAAUAAAAAGAAAAAUAUGCAUGGAAAUUAACUAAAAUGCAAAUGAAAUGUGCUAAAAAACUAUAAAAAGAAGUAAAUAAAAUGAAGCUAUCAAUUAGGCUUCGUCCUCGAAGCCUACUGCAACACAAAUUCCUAAAUAAUAAUCCCACAAUGCAACUUCGGAUCUCAACUGACUCAGAUUCCUCCAAACACUACUAUCAAAUUGUUGGGUUUUGAGCAUACUACAACAUCCUAUGGUGCACAUAAAACCCUAAAUACCUUGGAUCUAUGUUUUCCCUAUUAUACAUGCAAAUAUGAAGUUUCAAAGAUAUUACCCUAUACUAGCAUACAAAUAUCAUAUACUUGGGUAAUAAUAUAAAUAGAAUACAUACCUUGUUGUUGUUGCUUGACUCCACGAAGCUUGAGAGCCUAGUGCCCUAAGUGUGACACCUGAAAUGGUUCACACAACAUCAUGAACACUUGGAAGAACCAUGAGAAGAAGACACUCCAAGCUCAAAUUGACUAGCCCUCAUAUGUGUAUUACUUGUGUCAAUUUCUUGAGCUAAAGGGGUCCUUCUAUAGUGUGCAUAUUAGGGUUACACCAUGUAAAUCAUGACUUUACCCAUUCCUUAUGCUCCAUGGGUUUUAACCUCCAUGAAGUAUCCAUGAACCACCACAUGGGUUAAACCCAACAUAAGGAAUCUUGGAUCAUAAGCCCACAUAUCUAAGAAUGAAUGAUUUACACAAUCAAUCCCCAUAUAUUUAAUUAGUCUCUUUUGAUCAAUAAAUUAAGUCCAAAUUUAUUCUUGAUCAAUACUAAUUAAAUAACAUAAUUUUAUAUUAAUAUAUUAGAACUUAUAAUAUAUUAAUAUGUCACAAAUGUCCUCUUCUCACAAACGGUCUAUCCAAAUGUCCCGAUGCCAUGCAACCCAAAUGGACCAUGCCGAGUCGGGUCAAGUCUUACCAAUUAUAGUUAUGGACUUAGACACUAAUCCAACAGUCUCCCACUUGGAUAAGUCUAAAACUAUUAUUGCGUAUGACUUCAAAACUCAACCGGCAAUCGUAGCUCUCAAAAGCUUCUGUCGAACUCUGACCUUGUAGAUGAACUCUGACCUUUGUCAAUGACUUGUCCAUUAGAUAAGGGAUCAUAUAUUCCUCCAUUCUAGAUAUCAUAUGGACUGAGACAUGGAUUAUAAUCAUUCUCUCUGUCCAUUUGUUGUUUCCCGAUUUCCGAUUUAUGACGACUGACUAAUUGAACAAAUCAAAUCAGUCCUGGCCCGGCCGAGCACUUCCAUUUGUCAUCAUCAAAUCAUCGAGGGGCCCACAGAUAUCGCUUUUAUCCCGAAGGUAAAAGGAAUGGAUAAACUUCGACUCAUAUGGCUUGUUCUACUACUUGUUGAAUCAUACACAAAGGCACGUUUUAUAGCACCGAGUUACCAAAUGCGUUUUCGUGCAAUCAAUGUACUAUCAACUCAUAGUAACAACUCAUAUCUCUAGGUUUGAAGAAUAUAAGAUAUUAUCGUCUCAUGAUCACUCGUGAUAAAAUCCAUGAAGUGAUUCAAAUGAGCGCGGGUUGAAUCCAAUACUCGGAACUUAUGAGCACUCAUGAGUGUUGUAGCACAACUUUGUCCACCAACUUGGACCUCUACAAGCCAACCCAUGACAGUCUUGAUUCAUAUCUACUUCCAACAUAUGACCGAUUGUGGAUGGUUUGAAUAACUUAGUCAUUCCAGAACAAUAACCUAGUUAUUAUGGAAGUCAAAACAUGCAAAGUGAAACACAAGAAUAAAUGAAUCAAAUAUGGUAUCAAACCCUAUGAAUAUAAAUAGACCACUUUUAUUUAUCACCAUACUGAUUACUCAUUAUUCAUUGUUUCGGUUUUAUCAACUUUAUACCUAAAUUAAAAACACUAGUUGUCCCAUGCUCCAAGCAUGUACACUAUGUUUUUCUAAACA
Molecule: long non-coding RNA, 7311 nt
Filed under: Lactuca sativa (garden lettuce)
Lineage: Eukaryota; Viridiplantae; Streptophyta; Magnoliopsida; Asterales; Asteraceae
Description: long non-coding RNA (LSAT_LNC000901)
Source: RNAcentral